Molecule: ribosomal RNA, 492 nt
Filed under: uncultured bacterium
Lineage: Bacteria
Description: partial 16S ribosomal RNA
Rfam family: Bacterial small subunit ribosomal RNA
Source: RNAcentral
AGUGAACGCUGGCGGUAGGCCUAACACAUGCAAGUCGAACGGCAGCACAGUAAGAGCUUGCUCUUACGGGUGGCGAGUGGCGGACGGGUGAGGUAUACAUCGGAAUCUACUUUUUCGUGGGGGAUAACGUAGGGAAACGUACGCUAAUACAGCAUACGACCUACGGGUGAAAGCAGGGGAUCGUCGGACCUUGCGCGAUUGAAUGAGCCGAUGUCGGAUUAGCUAGUUGGCGGGGUAAAGGCCCACCAAGGCGACGAUCCGUAGCUGGUCUGAGAGGAUGAUCAGCCACACUGGAACUGAGACACGGUCCAGACUCCUACGGUAGGCAGCAGUCGGGAAUAUUGGGCAAUGGGCGCAAGCCUGAUCCAGCCAUACCGCGUGGGUGAAGAAGGCCUUCGGGUUGUAAAGCCCUUUUGUUGGGAGAGAAAAGCAGCAGGUUAAUACCCCGCUGUUCUGACGGUACCCAAAGAAUAAGCACCGGCUAACUUCGUG